AACGAGAAGAGAUGAGAAGCUUGCUUCUUAUCGAUUCGAGUGGCAAACGGGUGAGUAACGCGUAAGCAACCUGCCCUCUAGAUGGGGACAACAGCUGGAAACGGCUGCUAAUACCGAAUACGUUCUUUCUGUCGCAUGGCAGAGGGAAGAAAGGGAGGCUCUUCGGAGCUUUCGCUGGAGGAGGGGCUUGCGUCUGAUUAGCUAGUUGGAGGGGUAACGGCCCACCAAGGCGACGAUCAGUAGCCGGUCUGAGAGGAUGAACGGCCACAUUGGGACUGAGACACGGCCCAGACUCCUACGGGAGGCAGCAGUGGGGAAUCUUCCGCAAUGGACGAAAGUCUGACGGAGCAACGCCGCGUGAACGAUGACGGCCUUCGGGUU
RNAcentral lists this ribosomal RNA (381 nucleotides) under uncultured bacterium. Its description in RNAcentral is "bacterial SSU rRNA". It matches the Rfam family "Bacterial small subunit ribosomal RNA", at positions 65 to 424 of the family's 1533-position model. The record is from RNAcentral.